Molecule: long non-coding RNA, 694 nt
Filed under: Homo sapiens (human)
Lineage: Eukaryota; Metazoa; Chordata; Mammalia; Primates; Hominidae
Description: HSALNT0108477
Source: RNAcentral
UCUUAAUUUACAUGUCUAUGAGAAAGAUAAUUUAUUCUUUAACUGAAAUUAAACAUUUACCCCAUGUCUCUUCUUCUGAGGCAGUAACAUGCUUUUACUGAGAGGAACCAGGCCAUUUCCUAUAGUGGUCUUCCUGCCUUCACAUUUAAAUGUUACAUCAGUCUUUUUCUGUUUGGGGGAAUUUCUCUCUCUCUCUUUUCUUUUUUGUGAGACAGCGUCUGGCUCUGUCACCCAGGCUGGAGGGCAGUGGUAUGAUCUUGGCUCACUGAAGCCUUGACCACUUGGGCUCAAGCUAUCCUCCCACCUCAACCUCCUGAGUAGCUGAGACCACAGGCAUGCACCACCAUGGCUGGCUUUUUUGUUUGUUUGUUUUGUUUUUGUGAUAGCUUUGGUCCCAAUAUUUGGGGGAAUUUUAUUUUGAACAUCCAGAGGGGAGAUAAGAUAAUCUACUCUGCAACAAAGUCUAAACUCAGAUAUCUCUAUUUCUGAUUUCCUGAAAACGAAACAAAGGCUGAAGUAAGAAAGACAUUACCAUGGCUAAUACAAACUGCUGUCUUCAGCGUUUGUCUCAAGUUCUUUCAUAAACUGGACUCUCAAGGUCAGUUGGCACGCUUCUUCCCCAUUGGAUUUGCUUGUUGGGUGGAUAAUAAUGCUUUUACAUGAGAGGUUUUGAAGGCUGGAGCUUAUAAACAAA